Molecule: ribosomal RNA, 253 nt
Filed under: uncultured bacterium
Lineage: Bacteria
Description: partial 16S ribosomal RNA
Rfam family: Bacterial small subunit ribosomal RNA
Source: RNAcentral
UACGUAGGGCGCAAGCGUUGUCCGGAAUUAUUGGGCGUAAAGAGCUCGUAGGCGGCUUGUCACGUCGGGUGUGAAAACCCAGGGCUUAACCCUGGGCUGGCUUCCGAUACGGGCAGACUAGAGGUAUGCAGGGGAGAACGGAAUUCCUGGUGUAGCGGUGAAAUGCGCAGAUAUCAGGAGGAACACCGGUGGCGAAGGCGGUUCUCUGGGCAUUACCUGACGCUGAGGAGCGAAAGUGUGGGGAGCGAACAGG